GUGGUAGAACACCACCUUGCCAAGGUGGGGGUCGCGAGUUCGAACCUCGUCUUCCGCUCCA
This 61-nucleotide transfer RNA is filed under the name Bacillus sp. Soil531. RNAcentral describes it as "tRNA-Ser". It matches the Rfam family "tRNA", at positions 15 to 71 of the family's 71-position model. Rfam says of the family: Transfer RNA (tRNA) molecules are approximately 80 nucleotides in length. Their secondary structure includes four short double-helical elements and three loops (D, anti-codon, and T loops). Lineage: Bacteria; Bacillati; Bacillota; Bacilli; Caryophanales; Bacillaceae. The record is from RNAcentral.